GACAGAGGGUGCAAACGUUGUUCGGAAUUACUGGGCGUAAAGCGCGUGUAGGCAGUUUCGCAAGUCGGGUGUGAAAGCCCCUGGGCUCAACCUAGGAAGUGCACUCGAAACUGCGAGACUUGAGUCCUGGAGAGGAAGGCGGAAUUCUCGGUGUAGAGGUGAAAUUCGUAGAUAUCGAGAGGAACACCGGUGGCGAAGGCGGCCUUCUGGACAGUGACUGACGCUGAGACGCGAAAGCGUGGGGAGCAAACAGGG
RNAcentral lists this ribosomal RNA (255 nucleotides) under uncultured bacterium. Its description in RNAcentral is "partial 16S ribosomal RNA". It matches the Rfam family "Bacterial small subunit ribosomal RNA", at positions 524 to 777 of the family's 1533-position model. The record is from RNAcentral.